RNAcentral lists this ribosomal RNA (253 nucleotides) under uncultured Acinetobacter sp. RNAcentral's name for it is "partial 16S ribosomal RNA". It matches the Rfam family "Bacterial small subunit ribosomal RNA", at positions 524 to 776 of the family's 1533-position model. Lineage: Bacteria; Pseudomonadati; Pseudomonadota; Gammaproteobacteria; Moraxellales; Moraxellaceae. The record is from RNAcentral.
UACGGAGGGUGCGAGCGUUAAUCGGAUUUACUGGGCGUAAAGCGUGCGUAGGUGGUCUUUUAAGUCGGAUGUGAAAUCCCUGAGCUUAACUUAGGAAUUGCAUUCGAUACUGGGAAGCUAGAGUAUGGGAGAGGAUGGUAGAAUUCCAGGUGUAGCGGUGAAAUGCGUAGAGAUCUGGAGGAAUACCGAUGGCGAAGGCAGCCAUCUGGCCUAAUACUGACGCUGAGGUACGAAAGCAUGGGGAGCAAACAGG